CCUGUAAAGUUGAGCAAUGCCAAAGGUAAAGCGUAAAGGUGGUUAACUCCCGUUAUCCCGCGUGCGACAAGAAUAAUCAGAUAAAUAAUUAAAGCUUGGGGCGCCAAGGAGCAAUUUAUUAUUGUUGUAAUGACACAAAAUAAUCCCUUACCUUUUGGGAAUGUUAUUAUCAAUACAGUGAUUGGACUGAUAUAAAUUUGGUAUAUUUAGGCCUAGCGUUAGAUAAUAUUGACGACGAUGACCACAAACGCUAUAAGCAGGAAUCUGUUAACAGCUGCAUCAACAUGUAUGCGAGGAAUCGGUUAAGCCAUGUCUGUAUCAGAGACCUGCAUGGCUCAUUGUUUUCUUGAGUUGUUCAUACGCUAAAUUUCUUGCUCACAUUCAGUCAAUUGAACCAAAAUAUUUGGUCAAGUGCAGUCAGCUCAUGCAGGCGAACGCGUAGUUCAGCUCAGUCAACACGUAUGAUCUAAUGUCUUCAGCUCAAAUCUAAUCAUUGAACAAAAAGCAGCAUUGAAUGAAAUUAGCAUCGGCCUUUGCGUUCAAACGAUCAAACUUGUUCAAAGAAGUAAUUGUCAUUAAUGUAAAUAGCACAUGUUCGAGCAAACGAGCGUUGGCGUACAAUGUACGCUGUAAAUUGCGUUUCGUAUUUGAAAGGAUUAGUUGGUUUCAGCAAUGUUUCCUUAUUUACAUUAUUUUCUUUCGUGUUUUAUUAUAAGUUUUAAGAAAAAAAACAAAUAUGAAAAUAUAGUGUUUUUGCUUUUACUUUGCUAUCGUUAGUUACAAGCAAAAACUCAUGCGGGAUCAUACGUGUUCAAACCGGCUCAUUUGGCUCUAUAGCCCUUUUAUUCUUGCUCAAAAAAAUGAAUGUAUAGCCGAACGAGCAAAUACCCGAAACGGCUGCUAUGAAGACGAUUGGUGAUAACAUCGGAGAGCUAAAACGCAGCAAAUGAUUUGAUUGAGCUGAAAUAAACAAUGACAAUAACUAAUUUGAACAAGUUCGAUCGUUUGAACGCAAAGGCCUGUUUUUUUGUUCAAGCGAAGCGUAUGAAUGUUUUACACUGAGCCGGUGCAGUUCUCUGGUCUGUAUAUGCUUUGGAUAUAAACUUGGGUCGUUUCGGCUGGACUGAAUUUAUUAGGUGGAGAUUCCCAUGACAAAGUGAUUUAAAGUAUUACUUUGUUAACGGUACUAUUAAGUAAAAACAUCUUAAUUUUAUGAAAUAAUAUAUGUACAUCU
Anastrepha ludens (Mexican fruit fly) is the source of this 1234-nucleotide long non-coding RNA. RefSeq lists it as uncharacterized. The record is from RefSeq and is a predicted model, not a curated record. The transcript is spliced from 3 exons. NCBI's taxonomy places the organism in Eukaryota, Metazoa, Arthropoda, Insecta, Diptera, Tephritidae.